This 468-nucleotide ribosomal RNA is filed under the name uncultured bacterium. RNAcentral's name for it is "partial 16S ribosomal RNA". It matches the Rfam family "Bacterial small subunit ribosomal RNA", at positions 28 to 507 of the family's 1533-position model. The record is from RNAcentral.
GACGAACGCUGGCGGCGUGCUUAACACAUGCAAGUCGAACGGAAAGGCCCUGCUUUUGUGGGGUGCUCGAGUGGCGAACGGGUGAGUAACACGUGAGUAACCUUCCCUUGACUUUGGGAUAACUUCAGGAAACUGGGGCUAAUACCGGAUAGGAGCUCCUGCUGCAUGGUGGGGGUUGGAAAGUUUCGGCGGUUGGGGAUGGACUCGCGGCUUAUCAGCUUGUUGGUGGGGUAGUGGCUUACCAAGGCUUUGACGGGUAGCCGGCCUGAGAGGGGGACCGGCCAAAUUGGGACUGAGAUACGGCCCAGCCUCCUACGGGAGGCAGCAGUGGGGAAUAUUGCACAAGGGGCGGAAGCCUGAUGCAGAAACGCGGCGUGCGGGAUGACGGCCUUCGGGUUGUAAACCGCUUUCGCCUGUGACGAAGCGUGAGUGACGGUAAUGGGUAAAGAAGCACCGGCUAACUACGUG